Molecule: long non-coding RNA, 4746 nt
Filed under: Sus scrofa (pig)
Lineage: Eukaryota; Metazoa; Chordata; Mammalia; Artiodactyla; Suidae
Description: lncRNA (ENSSSCG00040009224.1)
Source: RNAcentral
UUUUUUUUUUUUUGUAUUUUUAAAAAAUUACAGUUGAUUUACAAUGUUGUGCCAGUGCAGUCACUUUCAACUGGCCCCAACCACUGCUACCCCCAGCUCCAGGCAACCACCAAUUGCCUAUUCUAAAUGACCACACUAUAUGGCCUUUCUCAUCCUACCACUUUUGGCUGGCAUAAUAUUUUUAGGACUCAUCCAUGUUGUAGUAUGUAUUAGUAUUUCACUCCUUUUCAUGGCCGCAUAAUAUGCCAUUGUGUGGACAUACCACAUUUUGUUUAUUCAUCUGUCCAUUAACAGACAUCUUGGGUUUCUCUACUUCUUGGCCAUUGUGUAUAAAGCUGCUGCUAUGAACAUUUGUGUACAAAUUUUUGCAUAGACAUAUGUUUUCAAGUUUCUUGUGUACAUGCCUAAAAGUAGAAUUGUUGGGUCAUGUGGCAAUUCUAGGUUUGAACACAUAAGGAACAGACAGGCUUUUUUCCAAAGUAUUUACAUUUUCACUAGCAGUGUAUGAGUAUUCAAUCUUAUACAUCUUAGUCAACACUGACUAUUAUCUGUCUUUUUAAAUUAUAGUCAUGCUUGUGGAAACACUGUAUUUUGAGGCAGUUCAUCUAUAACAUCCACUGAAUUGGAUGUUGGCAGACAUUGCAUAUUUUAUAAACUAAAAAAGAAACAUUUUAUAGAUUGGUAACAGUCAUUAUAAAAGUAGGAUUAAAUAGUCCAAACCCAAAAGCGAAACAAUUUAAAAUAAAAAGUAGAAGUUAAAAAAAAUUAAAAAUGAAACAAGUACAUUUCAAGACGAAUGACCACAACAUGAACUCCUGUGACCACAGAUCUGUCACUUUUUUGGUACAUCAGUCCGUAGCUAACCUACUAAUCAGAGCUCAAGAAAGUUGUGCCCUUUUUGGAGAGGUACAAACACAUCUGUUGGCUUAUUCUAACCAUCAGAAAUCAGACAAUAAAUCCCAUUAGUAGUGGAUGAAGCAUUUUAUCAGCACCAAAGAUUAACUGCAAAAUUAAUGCUGCAAAGCCUCUAUUUUUGGAAUAUUGAAAAAACUGAAUUAAACAACAGAAAUUAAUCAUAAGUGAAAAAAAAAGAAAUUAAGCAUAAGCGAAUGCACUAUACACAGCACAAAAAUGUUAAUGAACGGGAAGGAAGAUGUCACAAGAAGGAAAAGUCUGAACUAUGUUUUACAAAACGACAAAGCGGGCACUUAGGAAAACAGUGACUUAUAUUAGUCAGAUGCUCAGACCUUUGCUAACUCUAAAUACAUCUCUGAAAACUUCACCCCACUCUAUCCCAAGAGCACUUCAUAUGUUUGCUUGUAAUACAUAAAUGGCAGAAAACUUUUAUUUAUAUUUUUAAAGCACACGUAAACCAGUAGAGGUGCACCAACAAGGCAACAGAAAAAACCAUAAAGGAUAAAUAUGGCUUCUAAAAUAACGACUCCAAGUCUCAUUCAUAAUUCUAGUGGUAUGCAUUAAAAUAAUAAUGACAUAAUAGUUAUUUAGAAAUUGAAAAUACAAACAUAUUUUUCUGUUGACGUUUCUAACGCAUGAACUGUCUCAGACACAAACUCCCAUUAGUUUGCAGAAAGGUCGUCUUUAAAGAAACUCAAUUCCUUCAUCUACAGUCAUUUUCUCCCGAUCUUGUCUUAGCUCUUAGAUAAAAAAGGCCCAAGAGCUCACAAAACAUAGGCAUAUUCCCAUACCAAUUUAGACUUGUAAGACUUUCACAGAACACAGCAUCAAACUUUGUUAUAAAGAACUACAAUUUUGGAGUUCCCAUUGUAGCUCAGUGACUAGCAUCCAUGAGGAUGCAGGUUCCAUCCCUGGCCUCCCUCAGUGGGUUAAGAAUCCAGUGUUGCCAUGAGCUGUGGUGUAGGUCGCAGAUGAGGCUUGGAUCCUGCAUUGCUGCAGCUCUGGCAUAGGCCAUCAGCUACAGCUCCAAUUCGACCCUAGUCUGGGAACCUCCAUANUCAACAAGAACUAACUAGAAUUUUACCACUCCCAGUCUGUUUUAUUCUUCUUUUCUUUCUCCACAUAAGUGCCUGAGCAACAGGAUUUGGCGAAAGUCUUCUGACUAUAAACCUUUGGUAGCUUAUGAAUUGUGGAAUAUCCUGACCGUUAUACCUAACGAAAAUUAUUUAACCUGUAGCUAGAUAAGGAAUGAUGGCUGUCCUUGAGUGGUUUCAAUGAGUAUUCUUUUAGGAAUUACAAGAUACGCAUUACCAUAUAUCUAUAUUCUUUUCAGCUGGUUCAUUUAAAAAUUGAUCAGAGACAAAAACUAUUUUUGAAAAGUCUAUUUUGCAAAAACGUAUGCCUUUUUCCUUAUAUAAUCUAUUUUACUUAUACAGAAUGCUUCCUUUUUUUCUCUUUAUUAAACAGAAAAUCAAUGUGCCAAGUUUCUACUCUCUGUUCAGACUCUACUUGAACAGCAAACAAUUCAAGAUACACAGAUGAUAAAUCUUGACAGAAUUUUUUCAGUGAACAUUGGUCACUCGCUCGACAGAAUAAAAUUUUUGAUUGUGCUUGUUUCGUUAAAAGUCUUCAUUGGUUCUCCUUAAGCCUGAAAAUAAAAUCGUGUUAAGCUACCCUCCCCCCUUCUCUCUGCCUAUUCUAACCUAUUCUCGACAGGUGCUACUGGUGAACUUUCACCCUAUUUUUGGUCUAUUGUGCCUUAUUAAAUCUGAACCGCAUGUGCAGUCAAAGAAAAAGUGAUAUUCUUUUAGUCAUUUUAAACUACUGUUUCCUGAUAUUCCAUAUAUAAGUCAUAUUUCAGCGGGUUUUUUUCCCCCCUGCCAUCUCACGAGUCUGUGUGUUAAAAUUCAGGAAUAUAUUUUUGGAACAGUUUGGUGUAGUUUAGUGGUUUUCAGGAAGCAAAUUUAAGGAUUUUCUUGUUUCUUUUCCCUCCUAGCCAGACAAGAGCAAGGAGACAGGAUGGUGAAAGCUGGGGAAGGUAUGAUGGCACAGCGGUGGCAGAAUGUGGUCACCAAGGGCCACAGGACGCUGCAGGGACCUGGGGGAGGGGGUCCACACUGUUGUUUCAUGAGGCCUCAGUGAUGCCCUUUGGAGUAAAAAGAACGUGGUUGCCCAGAACACAACUGUCCUACAUCCGUGCAUGGGGUGGGUGGUUAUAGGAGUGACCCUGGCGGACACAUAGGCUCACAGAUAAGGUUGUCUACACCUGCCCACUUCUCUGUGAAUAUACGUUCUCAGGGGCCUGGAGGAAAUCCAAGAUCAUCUGAGGGCUCCUUCGUGGAGAAAGAAGUCCAGAUCCCAGUUUAUAUGCAAAAACACGAAACACGUGUCUUACUCUCCCAGACAAGGCAUGGGAUUCUAACUCCUUCUUUCUCUUUUCCCCUCUAGUGGACAUCGGUUGAGCUCCAGACAGCUUGAGUGCUCCUAAGCCAUGAAGCUUCCAGGGCACUCACAAUUUCAAAUUCUCUGUUUCCAAUUUUGGACAAUGAGUUCUGAAUUUCAGUUCUGGAGAUACAGGUAGAGGAUACCUGUUGACCUUGGCCAAUCCCUUCAUAUUUCUCUCUUGGGAGCUCCCUUGAAUAAGGGGGGUCUUGAGGACACCUGCUGCCUGGUGGAGACAUCAGAUUGAGAAGCACACAGCGAGUGCCUUGCCUCCCACCCUGAAAGCCCCCAGACCUGCUGGCCAGCUGAGCUCUCGGCCUUCGCAGUGAGCUCUACAACCUGGAAUCCAAGGUGGGCACUGUUAAACCAUCAUCGCCUCUGACUUCUGGAGAAUAAUACUGAGCAAUUCUGUUCAAACACCUUCCAAGACCAGACUAAAAGUCUUGAGUUUAAAGGGAUGGUCAGACUUAUGGUGGACAGGAAACGUCAUAACCCAUAAAGGGCAUUCACAUUCAAAGGAAGAAUUUUAGAAAUUGUGCUUGCCAAACGAAAUACAUGCUGCCAGAUUCCAGCUCCUGGUUUGGGGGGUUGGGGGUCCACAGCAGCGUCAGAGGCAAGAAAGGACCUGGGGUAAAAUUCCACAAGCUUUCAUGAAUACACCCUAUGCCGAAUUCUUGGAAAAGCAGCUUCUUCCACGAUGAGGUUAUAGUUUGUGCCUCGGCUCCGUGCUGUUUCUUCUGCACAUCUCCAAGGGCAACCUGCAUCUCUCUGCAGGGCCCUCUUCAGGACGUCCGAAAACAGACCACUGCGGCCAAUUCACUUAAUGUUCUCUCUGUUCUCCUAAUACCACAUAAUGAAUAGACAACCUUCUGGAAAAUGGGGCUUUUGGUGUUUUUUUUUGAAAACCCCGGUGUCUGGUUAACCCCAAUCCUUUUCUGUCCGCGUGUUCCCUAAUGUUCAGACCCUUUCUGCUAAACUUGCAAUGACGGAUGACACGCCCAUCUUGCCGCCUCCCCAGAGGAAGCAAAAGCUUGCUGCUUUUAUUGAUCCAGGAGCCCUUCAAGAGUCACCACAUGCUCCUGGAAGCUUCUGUCCGAGGGAGGAACGUUCACUCUGACAACCCUGUGCAGACAGAAGCUCACUUCGGGCAGCUGUCCAGCCAUCCCUGCCUCUUGACAGCAGGGAGAGACGGGCCCCCACUGCUCAGUGCCAGUGGGAUUUUCGGGAGUCCUGGCCGCCACGAAGAGAGAAACGGCCUGGACUCAGCAAGGGUAGGGGCUGGCUGGCCAAAGCUGGCAGGGUCAAUGGCUCAGCAAAGGAUCAAGCAGCUGACAGUGAAGGAGGACUAUGGGUGGCAACAAGCAAAAAAAAAAAAAAAAAAAAAAAAAA